Molecule: transfer RNA, 82 nt
Filed under: Echinostoma caproni
Lineage: Eukaryota; Metazoa; Platyhelminthes; Trematoda; Plagiorchiida; Echinostomatidae
Rfam family: tRNA
About the family: Transfer RNA (tRNA) molecules are approximately 80 nucleotides in length. Their secondary structure includes four short double-helical elements and three loops (D, anti-codon, and T loops).
Source: Rfam by way of RNAcentral
GGCCUCGUAGCUCAGCUGGUAGGGCGUGCACGUUCAAAGCUUAGGAGGCGUCCAUGCACGGGUUCGAGUCCCACCGAGGCUA